Non-coding RNA from Oryza meridionalis, 194 nucleotides. The record is from Rfam. NCBI's taxonomy places the organism in Eukaryota, Viridiplantae, Streptophyta, Magnoliopsida, Poales, Poaceae.
NNNNNUUUCCGUGUCCAACGUUUGACUGUCCAUCUUAUACAAAUUUUUUUAUAAUUAGUAUUUUCAUUAUUGUUAGAUGAUAAAACAUGAUUAAUAUUUUAUGCGCAACUUGUCUUUUUAUUUUUUUUUCAUAAUUUUUUUAAAUAAGACGGACGAUCAAACAUUGGACACGAAAAGCCAGGGUUUGUCUUUUU